ACCCAUUAAGGGAAAGAUUGAAGGAAAUGGCAAAAAGGGUAUGGAUUGAUGUGUGAUAUAAAAAUGAUGGGUUUUGGCAAAGAAAAAUAAAUAAAUAAAGGAAAGCCUAGGAGAAUAUGCUAAGCUUAUAUCAUAGAAAUAAUCGGAGAAGGAAUCGAUUGGGGCGGUGGUGGAGGAGAGGCGAGUGGUGGUGGGCCGAAGAGUGCUUUUUGCAUUUGUGAG
RNAcentral lists this unclassified non-coding RNA (222 nucleotides) under Hevea brasiliensis (rubber tree). Lineage: Eukaryota; Viridiplantae; Streptophyta; Magnoliopsida; Malpighiales; Euphorbiaceae. The record is from RNAcentral.